CAGCAGUGAGGAAUAUUGGUCAAUGGAGGGAACUCUGAACCAGCCAUCCCGCGUGUAGGAAGACGGCCUUAUGGGUUGUAAACUACUUUUAUACAGGAAGAAACGUACCCUCGUGAGGGUGCCUGACGGUACUGUAGGAAUAAGCACCGGCUAACUCCGUGCCAGCAGCCGCGGUAAUACGGAGGGUGCGAGCGUUAUCCGGAUUUAUUGGGUUUAAAGGGUCCGUAGGCGGAUUAAUAAGUCAGUGGUGAAAUCCCAUCGCUUAACGAUGGAACUGCCAUUGAUACUGUUAGUCUUGAAUGAGGGUGCAGUGGUUGGAAUGUGUAGUGUAGCGGUGAAAUGCAUAGAUAUUACACAGAACACCGAUUGCGAAGGCAGAUCACUAACCCUAAAUUGACGCUGAGGGACGAAAGCGUGGGGAGCGAACAGGAUUAGAUACCCUGUAG
Molecule: ribosomal RNA, 446 nt
Filed under: uncultured bacterium
Lineage: Bacteria
Description: bacterial SSU rRNA
Rfam family: Bacterial small subunit ribosomal RNA
Source: RNAcentral